This 311-nucleotide ribosomal RNA is filed under the name uncultured organism. RNAcentral's name for it is "bacterial SSU rRNA". It matches the Rfam family "Bacterial small subunit ribosomal RNA", at positions 346 to 654 of the family's 1533-position model. The record is from RNAcentral.
GUGCAGCAGGCGAGAAUUUUUCUCAAUGGGGGAAACCCUGAAGGAGCGACGCCGCGUGGAGGAUGAAGGCUUUCGGGUUGUAAACUCCUGUCAUUUGGGAACAAAGCCUUACGUUAACUGCGUGGAGGUUUGAUAGUACCGAAAGAGGAAGAGACGGCUAACUCUGUGCCAGCAGCCGCGGUAAUACAGAGGUCUCAAGCGUUGUUCGGAUUUAUUGGGCUAAAGGGCGCGUAGGCGCGGGUAAUCGGGUGUGAAAUCUCAGGGCUCAACCCUGAAACUGCACUUGAUACUGCUCUGCUUGAGGACUGGAG